AAUGGGUUGGCAGAUAAAUGUAAAUAAUUUAGGAUUAUUAUAUGAAUUAAUUUCACCCAUUA
Molecule: transfer RNA, 62 nt
Filed under: Alboglossiphonia lata
Lineage: Eukaryota; Metazoa; Annelida; Clitellata; Rhynchobdellida; Glossiphoniidae
Description: tRNA-Leu
Source: RNAcentral